GGCCGCGGGAAUUCGAUUCAGGCCUAACACAUGCAAGUCGAGCGGUAGAGAGAAGCUUGCUUCUCUUGAAAAAAAAAGGACGGGUGAGUAAUGCCUAGGAAUCUGCCUGGUAGUGGGGGAUAACGUUCGGAAGCGGACGCUAAUACCGCAUACGGCCUACGGGAGAAAGCAGGGGGCCUUCGGGCCGUGCGCUAUCAGAUGAGCCUAGGUGGGAGUGGCUAGUUGGUGAGGUAAUGGCUCACCAAGGCUACGAUCCGUAACUGGUCUGAGAGGAUGAUCAGUCACACUGGAUUUGGGACACGGUCCAGACUCCUACGGGAGGCAGCAGUGGGGAAUAUUGGACAAUG
RNAcentral lists this ribosomal RNA (347 nucleotides) under uncultured bacterium. Its description in RNAcentral is "partial 16S ribosomal RNA". It matches the Rfam family "Bacterial small subunit ribosomal RNA", at positions 43 to 373 of the family's 1533-position model. The record is from RNAcentral.